UGCUAAAAGACUGCUGGGAGUUUGGUAAUAAGGUUCUUCUUCCUUUUUGAGAUCUUCGUUUGAAUCUGACGACAGAUUUUCCUCAGUCUUUCCCAGAUCUUUAUCCUGUGAAGAGAAUGUUUUCAUUUGAACAGAACGUAGUCCGGGGGCUGAAGAUCUGAUACUGAAUCCUUUAUGUCCUGGAUGAUAUUCUCCCAGGUUCAUUAAUACCUGAAUUAUUAAAUCUGCAGCUAUUUGGCCAUAAGCCCAAUAUGAGAAGUUAAUACUUUUAAAGAAUCCAGUGACUGAAGAAAGGGCAAUCAACCUCUGACAGCCUAAUACAAGUUCUGGGAAAGAUGGUAAUACAUCGACAUCCAACUUUGUGGAGAUAAACACUUGGUUCUGAGAUCCCAUUUACUACUGACUUCAGCGGAGGUAAGACUUUGUGGUUGGUGUCCCAGAGCUCCUGACAUAUCUUCCAGUUCCCAGUUAAUUUUUAAGGAUGUUAAUGUUUUUAGUAGUGUCAGUCCAAUCUGAGUGUCAGGUACAAGAAAGAUUCUGUUGUAAUGGGAAAUGCUGCAUUUAGGACAGACUCUUUAAGGGAGGGAGCAGAGGAGUAGAAUUAACACAAUACACUGCUUUCACUAUUUAAAACAAAAUCCUUGGCAGCUGUAGGCAAAAGAGAAUGGUAUCAAAUACUGAAAAGAAUAUUUUGCAACCUGACUCAAUCUU
Molecule: long non-coding RNA, 711 nt
Organism: Gallus gallus (chicken)
Lineage: Eukaryota; Metazoa; Chordata; Aves; Galliformes; Phasianidae
Exons: 3
Source: RefSeq, a predicted model, not a curated record